Molecule: RNA transcript, 1490 nt
Organism: Fragaria vesca subsp. vesca
Lineage: Eukaryota; Viridiplantae; Streptophyta; Magnoliopsida; Rosales; Rosaceae
Gene name: sulfite oxidase-like
Exons: 12
Source: RefSeq, a predicted model, not a curated record
AUGGAUGUCUCUCAUCUCGCCGGUGACUUCCGUAUCAGACCCCGACGGAUCCGCUACAGCAAAAAUAUUGUGAGUAAUUCCCCUCAAAUGUUCCCCCGAAUGGGAAAGGAUGUUUCAGAUUCUGCCGGUGACUUCCGCAUCACUUUUGGUUGUGGAAUGCGUCCCUCAGAUUACUCGCGGGAGCCGCCUCGACAUCCAAGCCUCAAAAUCAACGCCAAGGAGCCUUUCAACGCGGAACCGCCGCGCUCGGCUCUCGGCGCCGUUUACGUCACUCCGGUGGAUUUGUUCUACAAGAGAAACCACGGUCCUAUUCCAAUAGUCGAUGACAUCCACAGUUACUCUGUUUCCAUAACCGGAUUGAUCCAAAAUCGGAAGCAGCUGUUUUUCAACUAUAUCAUGGCGCUUCCCAAGUAUAAUGUCACUGCCACAUUGCAGUGUGCAGGUAAUAGAAGGACAGCUAUGAGCCAAACUCGGACGGUCAAGGGAGUAGGGUGGGAUGUUUCUGCUGUAGGAAAUGCUGUAUGGGGUGGUGCGAAAUUGGCUGAUGUACUUGAACUGUUACAGGCGCGACUAAAUCUGGCGGAAAACAUGUUGAGUUUGUAAGCGUUGAUAGGUGUAAGGUACAACCUGGAGGCCCAUACAAAGCAUCAAUUCCACUGAUUCAGGCCACAAGCCCGGAUGCAGAUGUUUUACUUGCUUAUGAGAUGAACGGAGAGACCCUAAACAGGGAUCAUGGGUAUCCAUUGUGUGUGGUUGUGCCUGGUGUUAUUGGUGCCCGUUCUGUCAAAUGGCUUGAUUCGAUUAAUGUCAUUGCAGAGGAAUGUCAGGGCUUCUUUAAGCAAAAAGACUACAAAAUGUUUCCACCUUCAGUAAACUGGGAUAACAUUAAUUGGUCCACAAGGAGACCACAAAUGGAUUUUCCUGUCCGGUGUGUAAUUUGCUCUUUAGAGGAUGUGAAUGCAUUAAAGCAUGGAAAGGUUAACACCUACAAUAUCUAUCUCAUGAGCUUCUUUUGUGGAAAGGGGCGAUGCCUUGAAAGCACAAAAAAAAGCCAGGAAAGUGCAUAUAUUGGUUAUUCAUCGAGUUCUUGGGAGCUUUGUAAGACUGAGGCAUCACAGGAUAAGCAGUCCAUCUGGGGAUUUGGGUUGAAGUAUAAAUAUUUGUGUGGUGUUGUUUCUCCUUAAAUUGGCAGGGCAUUGCCUAUGAUCACGUGCGUGCUGGGGCAAAGGGAAUGUGGAGAAUACAGCAAAACAACGCAAAACAAAAACAAAGACUUUAGAAUCGAAGCUUUCAAACUCUAAUAUUAUUUCUUUAAAGAGUUGGAAUACUAAAACAUAAAACAAAGAUCAAAUAUAGGAGAUUUGACAGGACAAUGAGAUAAGGAAGAGAAGCAGAUAGCUAAUUUUUGGGGUGACAUCAUGGGACCCGCGCAUAGAGCACCCAGCAUGGCCUUGCAUGGUUUAGGCAGCUGGGGAAAACCGCACCCACCC